Molecule: ribosomal RNA, 468 nt
Filed under: uncultured bacterium
Lineage: Bacteria
Description: partial 16S ribosomal RNA
Rfam family: Bacterial small subunit ribosomal RNA
Source: RNAcentral
AGCGAACGCUGGCGGCAGGCCUAACACAUGCAAGUCGAACGGUGAAGCUCCAGCUUGCUGGAGUGGAUCAGUGGCGAACGGGUGAGUAACACGUGAGCAACCUGCCCCUGACUCUGGAAUAAGCGCUGGAAACGGCGUCUAAUACUGGAUACGAGAAGGGUCCGCAUGGGCACUUUCUGGAAAGUUUUUCGGUUGGGGAUGGGCUCGCGGCCUAUCAGCUUGUUGGUGAGGUAAUGGCUCACCAAGGCGACGACGGGUAGCCGGCCUGAGAGGGCGACCGGCCACACUGGGACUGAGACACGGCCCAGACUCCUACGGGAGGCAGCAGUGGGGAAUAUUGCACAAUGGGCGAAAGCCUGAUGCAGCGACGCCGCGUGAGGGAUGACGGCCUUCGGGUUGUAAACCUCUUUCAGCAGGGAAGAAGCGAAAGUGACGGUACCUGCAGAAGAAGCACCGGCUAACUACGUG